GUGCUCGCUUCAGCAGCACAUAUACUAAAAUUGAAACGAUACACAGAGAAGAUUAGCAAGGCCCAUGCAAAAGGAUGACAUGCAAAUCUGUGAAGUAUCCCAUAGUUUU
Jaculus jaculus (lesser Egyptian jerboa) is the source of this 109-nucleotide small nuclear RNA. Lineage: Eukaryota; Metazoa; Chordata; Mammalia; Rodentia; Dipodidae. The record is from Ensembl.